CCUUGUUCAUGUAGAACAGUGGUCACUCUGAGUCCACUCAUCUUCAAAAAGUUCAUUAUCUUCCUUAUUUAAACAACACAUCAUAACAAACUUGGGAAAUAUAGACAUUAUUUAACCUUAAGAAAUCAGGAAAUGUUGCUGACAUACUGAAAUUUAAGGACACUUCCAGUCAUUUGGGUCCAUGGGAAACAGAAAGGAAUAUCCAACUGAAGAUGUUUUAAGUGUAGAACCAAUGCACAAUGCUGUUUUUCAUCUGUGUGUGCGUGCAUGCAUGUGCACAUGCAUGUGUGUGUGUGCAUAUGUGUGUGCAUGCAUGCAUGUGUGUGUGCGUGUGCAUGCACACACAUGCAUUAUUUCUUCUGCCCUGGGAUUGAACCCAGGCCUGCAUGCUACCCAAACACUCUGCCAUUGAACCACAAUUCCUGUUCUUGUGUUUGUUUAUUUUUUAAAGUCAUCAGAAUAUUUUUGCUACUCUCAACCCACUCGCUCACUGUUUAUAUAUAAGCCUCUAAUUUGGGGGUUAUGUUUAUCAUGAGCAUAACAAUCUCCAUUGCAAAAGCUUUUACAAAAUACUUAUUAUGCUCUCAACUGCUGAGUACUUUUGUUACCACUAGGUAACUGUCUCAGUCACUGUUCUACUGCUGUGAAGAGACAUCAUGACCAAGGCAACUCUUAUAAAAGAAAGUAUUUAAUUUUGGGCUUGCUUAUAGCUUCAGAAGUUUGGUCCAUUAUCAUUAUGAUGGCACACAGUAGCUGUGAGCUAUAUCCUGACUUGAACCCCAAGAGAAAGAAUUGGACCUACCAUGGGCUUUUGAAACCUUAAAUCCCACCUCCAGUGAGAAACUUCCUCCAAUAAGGCCACACCUACUCCAAAAAGCUCAUUCUUCUCAAAUACUGCCACUCCCUGGUGACUAAGCAUUCAAAUCUAUGAGCCUAUGGAGGCCGCUUUAAUUCAAGCCACCACACCUAUCUAACCUAACUAUUCCAUAGUAAAAAUGUAUGUGAAACCCAAUAUGGGGGAGAGACACUACAACUCCCACUUAAAUUCCUUUAGAUCAAAAUAAAAUUGUUGUUGCCUUUCUUCCCAGGAAAGAGAUGUUGCUGUGCCAUUCUACACAGGACCAAUUGGAGUGCACUAAAGAGAUUCCCCAGGAAGGUGUUGAGCCAGAAUCGGUUGGGUUCUUCCCAGCUGGAGGAUUCUUCACUCAUAAAACUUGCCAGAGGAUAAUGACCUCGGAGGUCCCUGAAUCACAAUAGCAGGCUUCUGUUCAGUGAAGCACAAUCUUCAGAAUGCUCCAAAGCUUCAGGAUUUAGGACAAGUCUUUCCACACAGAGAGAGGAAUUCACAAAACCUAAACUGGAAAAUCAGUCUCAUUACAAGAGAAACCAGGAAGAACGAUGGGAAAGAAGAGGCCUUCUCCUUCCCAGGCCUGGAGAAAAUUCUGCCUUGACACCCCACGCUCUUUUUUUGCGGCAACUGCCUCCUUCUCUGUCCUGCCGAAGGCCACAGCAGCACGUUUGCAGCGGAAAUAAACUUGCGCACCUCAUAAAAAGAACCAGUAAUGAUGCUCCCAUUUCAUGGGAUAUUACACCAUAAUGAUGAUAAUCCGCCCAUUUACAUCUGAUCUUCCAUAGACUUAGUGAAAUUAGCUUCCGUGCCACCUAGCAGGGGUAAUUUAUGAGAUAAAAAGGAACCAUUGAGAGAUAAUGUAAUGAGUAUUUACUGUAUCCUUGAUGGUGCUCUCAUCGCUGGGGAGACGGGAAGUUGGCUGGUGAGUUUAGCCUCCCACAUUUUCAGAGCCUCGUGCUAAAACCUCGGGUUAGCCGAUCCAGACCAAGACAUCACCCCAAACGCUCCUCCUCAGAAAAGCUAUGCAAACUCAUGCGGUGUUUGUGCUC
Molecule: long non-coding RNA, 1899 nt
Filed under: Mus musculus (house mouse)
Lineage: Eukaryota; Metazoa; Chordata; Mammalia; Rodentia; Muridae
Description: predicted gene, 32305
Source: RNAcentral